GACGAACGCUGGCGGCGUGCUUAACACAUGCAAGUCGAACGGAAAGGCCCUGCUUUUGUGGGGUGCUCGAGUGGCGAACGGGUGAGUAACACGUGAGUAACCUGCCCUUGACUUUGGGAUAACUUCAGGAAACUGGGGCUAAUACCGGAUAGGAGCUCCUGCUGCAUGGUGGGGGUUGGAAAGUUUCGGCGGUUGGGGAUGGACUCGCGGCUUAUCAGCUUGUUGGUGGGGUAGUGGCUUACCAAGGCUUUGACGGGUAGCCGGCCUGAGAGGGUGACCGGUCACAUUGGGACUGAGAUACGGCCCAGACUCCUACGGGAGGCAGCAGUGGGGAAUAUUGCACAAUGGGCGGAAGCCUGAUGCAGCAACGCCGCGUGCGGGAUGGCGGCCUUCGGGUUGUAAACCGCUUUCGCCUGUGACGAAGCGUGAGUGACGGUAAUGGGUAAAGAAGCACCGGCUAACUACGUG
RNAcentral lists this ribosomal RNA (468 nucleotides) under uncultured bacterium. RNAcentral's name for it is "partial 16S ribosomal RNA". It matches the Rfam family "Bacterial small subunit ribosomal RNA", at positions 28 to 507 of the family's 1533-position model. The record is from RNAcentral.